GACGAACGCUGGCGGCGUGCUUAACACAUGCAAGUCGAGCGGUAAGGCCCUUUCGGGGGUACACGAGCGGCGAACGGGUGAGUAACACGUGGGUGACCUGCCCUCAGCUCUGGGAUAAGCCUGGGAAACCGGGUCUAAUACUGGAUAUGACUCCAUGACGCAUGUUGUGGGGUGGAAAGCCUUGUGCGGCUGAGGAUGGGCCCGCGGCCUAUCAGCUUGUUGGUGGGGUGAGGCCUACCAAGGCGACGACGGGUANCCGGCCUGAGAGGGCGACCGGCCACACUGGGGACCUG
Molecule: ribosomal RNA, 293 nt
Filed under: uncultured bacterium
Lineage: Bacteria
Description: partial 16S ribosomal RNA
Rfam family: Bacterial small subunit ribosomal RNA
Source: RNAcentral